RNAcentral lists this ribosomal RNA (506 nucleotides) under uncultured bacterium. Its description in RNAcentral is "partial 16S ribosomal RNA". It matches the Rfam family "Bacterial small subunit ribosomal RNA", at positions 29 to 523 of the family's 1533-position model. The record is from RNAcentral.
AGUGAACGCUGGCGGUAGGCCUAACACAUGCAAGUCGAACGGCAGCACAGGAGAGCUUGCUCUCUGGGUGGCGAGUAGCGGACGGGUGAGGAAUACAUCGGAAUCUACUCUGUCGUGGGGGAUAACGUAGGGAAACUUACGCUAAUACCGCAUACGACCUACGGGUGAAAGCAGGGGAUCUUCGGACCUUGCGCGAUUGAAUGAGCCGAUGUCGGAUUAGCUAGUUGGCGGGGUAAAGGCCCACCAAGGCGACGAUCCGUAGCUGGUCUGAGAGGAUGAUCAACCACACUGGAACUGAGACACGGUCCAGACUCCUACGGGAGGCAGCAGUGGGGAAUAUUGGACAAUGGGCGCAAGCCUGAUCCUGCCAUACCGCGUGGGUGAAGAAGGCCUUCGGGUUGUAAAGCCCUUUUGUUGGGAAAGAAAUCCAGCUGGCUAAUACCCGGUUGGGAUGACGGUACCCAAAGAAUAAGCACCGGCUAACUUCGUGCCAGCCGCCGCGGUAA